This 253-nucleotide ribosomal RNA is filed under the name uncultured bacterium. RNAcentral describes it as "partial 16S ribosomal RNA". It matches the Rfam family "Bacterial small subunit ribosomal RNA", at positions 524 to 776 of the family's 1533-position model. The record is from RNAcentral.
UACGAAGGGGGCUAGCGUUGCUCGGAUUGACUGGGCGUAAAGGGCGCGUAGGCGGUUCGUACAGUCAGACGUGAAAUUCCUGGGCUCAACUUGGGGGCUGCGUUUGAUACGUGCGGGCUUGAGUGCGGAAGAGGGUCGUGGAAUUCUCAGUGUAGAGGUGAAAUUCGUAGAUAUUGGGAAGAACACUGGUGGCGAAGGCGGCGACCUGGUCCGAUACUGACGCUGAGGCGCGAAAGCGUGGGGAGCAAACAGG